Non-coding RNA from Macaca mulatta (Rhesus monkey), 2208 nucleotides. NCBI's taxonomy places the organism in Eukaryota, Metazoa, Chordata, Mammalia, Primates, Cercopithecidae. The record is from RefSeq and is a predicted model, not a curated record.
AUCGCGCUACUGCACUCCAGCCUGGAUGACUGAGCAAGACUCUGUCUCAAAAAAAAAAAAAAAGUUCUCAGUGGUCCCAGAGUCAUUUCGUUCAGUAUUUAGGCUACUGGUGUCUGGAUCCACAUCAGAAAAGCAAGGAAAAGAAUGGAAUUUCACAGAACUAAAAGCCUUGCUGUUGGCCUCUUGGCUGGGUCUCUGCAGGACAUAAUCCCUCACAUACAGGCUUAUGGCAGGUCCAAAGUACUGCUCUCCUCUGACAGGGUGCCUGGGGUGGCUUCCUGGCAGCCAUAGUCUGCCCUGCAACAGCAAGAGCCCAGAACUUGGAAACGGAGGUGCACCAUCUUUGUAAACCAAGGAAAUUUUUAAACUGUGACCUAAUAUUACUGGGACUUGUCUCCCUACCUUAUGCCUUACAAUCCAUUCUCCCUACAGACCAAAAUAAGCUUUCUAAAAUGAAAAUGUGAUUACUUGACAUAUACUAAUUAACAAUAUUCAUGUUGCAAGGCAUAGAAAGCCUAAGUCAUGUGGUUUUAAAUAUAAUAAAAGGUAAUUUUCUGUCCCAACUGGAGAUUUAGGAGUAGAAGAGUUUCAGUUACAGCUUGAUACAUGAAUCUGUUUAUAAUCUGUCACCAAGCUCCAUCUCACAGUUCUGUCUUUUCUGUGUGUCAGUGCUAUCUUAAGAUUACUCCUGUAGUGAUAGCAACAUGGCAGCAGCAGUUUCUAAGCAUCACAUAGUUACUCCAGCAAACACAGUAAAAGAGGACACUUUCUCAGAAGCUCCAGCACAUGGAAUACUGUGUCUUAUUGACCCAUCCCUGAACUAAUCACUGUGGCCAAUGGGAUUAGGUUUGCUAAACAUCUUAAGCCAAACGUCUUAAGCCAGACGUUGCUAAACGUCUUAAUUUGAGGCCAAUUCCACACAAACUACAUUGGUUGGAAGAAGGGUCAGAAUAAAGAUAGGAGGAAAUAGGUGAGCAAACAUCUGAAGUCAGCAGUCCCCAGCCUUUUUGGCACCAGGGACCAGUUUUAUGGAAAACAAUUUUUCCACGGAUGGAGAGGGUAGUUUUGGCAUGAAACUGUUCUACCUCAGAACAUCAGGCAUUAGUUAGAAUCUUAUAAGGAGCUUGUAAUCCAGAUCCCCCGCAUGUGCAGUUCAUAAUAGGGUUCAUGAGAAUCUAAUGCCACCACUGAUCUUAAAGGAGGCAGAACUCAGGAAGUAAUGCUUGCUCACUUGCUGCUCACCUCCUGCUGUGCAGCCCAAUUCCUAACAGGUCACCAACUGGUACCAGUCUGCCACUCAGAGGUUGGGAACCCCUGUCUGAAGUGAUUUAAAAUGCUUCAUUAAUCUCUAUUGCUCUUGAUAUAAAGGCUGCUCUUUCCUCAUCAGGGCCUGUACUACCCUGCGUGAUAUCGUCUCUGUCACCCCUUUGGGCUCAUCUUUCUCAGUCAUUCUUUCCUGGUGUUCAAACGUGUUUUUUUUUUUUUUUUGGACAGAGAGAGGGGGGGGGCCUCAUUCUGCCACUCAGGCUACAGUGCAGUGGUGCAAUUAUAGCUCAUUGCAGUCUUGACUUCCUGAGUUCAAGCAAUCUUCCCACUUCAGCCUGCCAAAGUAUUAGGAUUACAGGCAUAAGCCACCAUGCCCGGCCCUCAAGCAUGCUUAAUUUAGGUGCUGUGAUGGUUAAUGUUUUGUGUCAACUUGGCUAGGCCACAGUGUGUAACUGUACGAUAAAAUGUUAUUCUGGAUGUUUCCAGGGGGAUGUUUUUAGAUGAGAUUAAUAUUUAAAUCAGUAGAUUUUGAGUCAGGCAGUUUGCCCUUCGUAAUUUAGAUGGGCCUUACCCAGUGAAUUGAAGCUCUAAAUAGAACAAAAGGCUGACUUCCCCUGAGUUAAAAAGAAUCUAUCAGCAGAUGGCCUUCAGACUUGAACUGCAAUGUUGGCUCUUCUUGAGUCUCCAGCCUGACAGCCCACUCUGCAGAUUUCAGACUUGCUUGUCUUCAUAAUCAGAAUGUAGAAACAAGGCCUGGAGGUGAAGCAGUCAUCUUGAAUUCAUGCCACAACUAGCAUGAGGGUGAAUGUCUAUAUAGUAAGGAUGGCAGAGCAGAAAGAUGAAAAGAGACUGGAACCCUGGAAGCAAUUUGAAGCCACUGUACCUAUCCCCACAUUUGUAAUGGAUGAGACAAAUAAACCCCUAUUUGUUUAAGCCACUGUA